GAAGUAAAAGUCGUAACAAGGUUUCCGUAGGNGAACCUGCGGAAGGAUCAUUAAUGAAUUUGUUGACGGGGUUUGAUGCUGGCGUUCCAAUUAUUGGAUGGCAUGUGCUCGCCCUAACAAUCAUUUUCCCUAAACACCCGUGCAUGUUUUGAGGGGAAAUUGAGCCUAUUGCUGGUUGUUGCAGUAAUUUUGCUCCUGCUCCCCUUCUAAUCACAUACGCUAUUCACAAAUAUUGAACGUGCAUUGUGCCGCAAGGUCACUAAUAAUAAUACAACUUUUAACAACGGAUCUCUUGGCUCUCGCAUCGAUGAAGAACGCAGCGAAAUGCGAUAAGUAAUGUGAAUUGCAGAAUUCAGUGAAUCAUCGAAUCUUUGAACGCAUCUUGCGCUCCCUGGCAUUCCGGGGAGCACGCCUGUUCGAGUGUCACGAAAUUAUUCAAGCUUUUUAGGGGUUUCCGCCCCUUUUUAGUCUUGGUUAUUGGGCUCUGCUGUGUCUUGCUUCAUUGCGGAAACGGCUGGCCUCAAAAUUAUCAGCUGAUCCUCACAUGGGCACCGGUUCUACUCAGCGUGAUAAUACUACUCAUCGCUGAGGACAUCCUUUGAGUCCAUUGCUUUGGGGGGUG
Molecule: ribosomal RNA, 622 nt
Filed under: uncultured Clavulinaceae
Lineage: Eukaryota; Fungi; Basidiomycota; Agaricomycetes; Cantharellales; Hydnaceae
Description: eukaryotic LSU rRNA
Rfam family: 5.8S ribosomal RNA (bases 273-426)
Source: RNAcentral